GUGAAGAUUACCCCUCAAUUUCAGUCAUCACAUAGCGCUCAACUGACCUUAUAUACAGUGUAUGUAGCGUGCUUUGCGAGAUUGGGCUAUGAAUAACAUUAACAAAUGCGUACGCCGUCUGCAGAUAGGGGGGUGCAAGGCUGGUAGCGCCGCUGCAGAACGCAAGCGGUAUAGCACAUCCAGCGCAUAUAGUAGCACAUAUUGUACAUCCAGCGGACAAGCAAUUGACCAGAAGCAACUGACCAGACGCGCAUUGGCUCCAUGACGACAACAUGACCCAGCAGUGAGGGACCCAGUAUGACCAGACAGAGGAAAAUAUGGCGGUUUUCGUGCUGUUGGAAAUACAUGGGAUAGGGGGUGCAACGUAGAAGCCGACACCUUCCUGGUCUUGGCUGAGGCGAAGGAGACGCCAGCCCACGUCCUACGCGACAUGGAGACCCUGCGCUCUUGUGCCCGGUACCGCACACGACAUGCUGCCCACUACCUACGGGACAUUCACCUACGAUAGGGGGUGCAACGUAGAAGCCGACACCUUCUUGGUCUUGGCUGAGGCGAAGGAGAGGCCAGCCCACGUCCUACGCGACAUGGAGACCCUGUGCUCUUGUGCGCGGUACCGCACACGACAUGCUGCCCACAACCUACGGGACAUUCACCUACUGUAUGAAAACUCAGCUGUCGGGGCUGCUGUUUGCAGACUGGCACAGUCUCUUCCGCCCCCUCCGUCGCGCCUGCUAUACGCUCCACCUUUUUGAACCCUCGUGCUUCCUCCGACGAACCUGCAUAUUCCCAACAUGUCCCGCAAAAACGACACUCCUGUCCUCGCCGCGCCAGCUUGCUCUUGACCAUUUGAACUCGGUCCACGUUCAGCGUAAAGCAAUUUUCACGGAUGGCUCGGCUGUGUAUGGCGCGUCGUCUGCAGCUUUCUUCAUGCCUCACAGCGACACUGCGCAGGCUUUCAAGCUGCCGCAUGAAACUUCAUCCACUGACCCGGGACUGACAGCCAUCUAUGAAGCGCUCAACGCCAUAUCCGGUUCACAGGCCGACUCGUUGUCCAUCUUCACGGACAGCAAGUCAGCAUUGGAGACCUUGACAUCGUACCGGUGCAGUGCUAUUUGCGAUCUCCGCACGCUUGUAAUCGCCAGAUACAACGAGCUCCUGGCUUCCGGCCACAGCGUACGGCUAGGCUACCGAGAGCUUUCCCUCGCGGUGCUACUUGGCCCUACGCAGCACGCUGAAGUCACAUUUGCGCUGACACGAUUCCUUCGGGAAUUUAAACUCCUGGGCAUUCUGUGAUGCGUCCUAUGCGCAACGAUUAGUGACGGAGCUGUUUCUCCUGAAUUUUUUCGUAAUUUUCCCAGCUGUUUGUGUUUUCUUUUGUUUGCUUGAAAGCUCUAGGGAAUGGCAAGCCCACACCGUGGCUAACUUUUCUCUUCUCUUUUUUACUUUGGAUUAAACAUAUCCCCCCCCCCCCGA
Molecule: long non-coding RNA, 1473 nt
Organism: Ornithodoros turicata
Lineage: Eukaryota; Metazoa; Arthropoda; Arachnida; Ixodida; Argasidae
Exons: 3
Source: RefSeq, a predicted model, not a curated record